RNAcentral lists this ribosomal RNA (846 nucleotides) under Escherichia coli. RNAcentral's name for it is "bacterial SSU rRNA". It matches the Rfam family "Bacterial small subunit ribosomal RNA", at positions 35 to 871 of the family's 1533-position model. The record is from RNAcentral. Lineage: Bacteria; Pseudomonadati; Pseudomonadota; Gammaproteobacteria; Enterobacterales; Enterobacteriaceae.
GCAAUUGGGCGGGCCUAAAAUGCAGUCGAACGGUAACAGGAAGCAGCUUGCUUCUUUGCUGACGAGUGGCGGACGGGUGAGUAAUGUCUGGGAAACUGCCUGAUGGAGGGGGAUAACUACUGGAAACGGUAGCUAAUACCGCAUAACGUCGCAAGACCAAAGAGGGGGACCUUCGGGCCUCUUGCCAUCGGAUGUGCCCAGAUGGGAUUAGCUUGUUGGUGGGGUAACGGCUCACCUAGGCGACGAUCCCUAGCUGGUCUGAGAGGAUGACCAGCCACACUGGAACUGAGACACGGUCCAGACUCCUACGGGAGGCAGCAGUGGGGAAUAUUGCACAAUGGGCGCAAGCCUGAUGCAGCCAUGCCGCGUGUAUGAAGAAGGCCUUCGGGUUGUAAAGUACUUUCAGCGGGGAGGAAGGGAGUAAAGUUAAUACCUUUGCUCAUUGACGUUACCCGCAGAAGAAGCACCGGCUAACUCCGUGCCAGCAGCCGCGGUAAUACGGAGGGUGCAAGCGUUAAUCGGAAUUACUGGGCGUAAAGCGCACGCAGGCGGUUUGUUAAGUCAGAUGUGAAAUCCCCGGGCUCAACCUGGGAACUGCAUCUGAUACUGGCAAGCUUGAGUCUCGUAGAGGGGGGUAGAAUUCCAGGUGUAGCGGUGAAAUGCGUAGAGAUCUGGAGGAAUACCGGUGGCGAAGGCGGCCCCCUGGACGAAGACUGACGCUCAGGUGCGAAAGCGUGGGGAGCAAACAGGGAUUAGAUACCCUGGUAGCCCACGCCGUAAACUAUGUCGACUUGGAGGUUGUGCCCUUGAGGCGUGGCUUCCGGAGCUAACGCGUUAAGUCGACCG